UAGGGAAUCUUCCGCAAUGGACGAAAGUCUGACGGAGCAACGCCGCGUGAGUGAAGAAGGAUUUCGGUUCGUAAAACUCUGUUGUUAGGGAAGAAAAAAUGUAUAGUAACUAUAUACAAAAGAGACGGUACCUAACCAGAAAGCCACGGCUAACUACGUGCCAGCAGCCGCGGUAAUACGUAGGUGGCAAGCGUUGUCCGGAAUUAUUGGGCGUAAAGCGCGCGCAGGUGGUUUAGAAAGUCUGAUGUGAAAGCCCACGGCUCAACCGUGGAGGGUCAUUGGAAACUAAUAAACUUGAGUGCAGGGAAGAAAAGUGGAAUUCCUAGUGUAGCGGUGAAAUGCGUAGAGAUUAGGAGGAACACCGGUGGCGAAAGCGGCUUUUUGGCCUGCAACUGACACUGAGGCGCGAAAGCGUGGGGAGCAAACAGG
RNAcentral lists this ribosomal RNA (429 nucleotides) under Verrucomicrobiota bacterium. Its description in RNAcentral is "Verrucomicrobia bacterium partial 16S ribosomal RNA". It matches the Rfam family "Bacterial small subunit ribosomal RNA", at positions 355 to 776 of the family's 1533-position model. The record is from RNAcentral. Lineage: Bacteria; Pseudomonadati; Verrucomicrobiota.